AGUAGUCACGAGUUUGAUCCUGGCUCAGAACGAACGCUGGCGGCAGGCCUAACACAUGCAAGUCGAGCGAACCCUUCGGGGUUAGCGGCGGACGGGUUAGUAACGCGUGGGAAUAUACCCUUUGGUACGGAAUAGCCUCGGGAAACUGAGAGUAAUACCGUAUGUGCCCUUCGGGGAAAGAUUAUCGCCAAAGGAUUAGCCCGCGUUGGAUUAGAUAGUUGGUGGGGUAAUGGCCUACCAAGUCUACGAUCCAUAGCUGGUUUGAGAGGAUGAUCAGCAACACUGGGACUGAGACACGGCCCAGACUCCUACGGGAGGCAGCAGUGGGGAAUCUUAGACAAUGGGCGCAAGCCUGAUCUAGCCAUGCCGCGUGGACGAUGAAGGCCUUAGGGUUGUAAAGUCCUUUCAGAUGGGAAGAUAAUGACGGCACCAUCAGAAGAAGCCCCGGCUAACUCCGUG
Molecule: ribosomal RNA, 459 nt
Filed under: uncultured bacterium
Lineage: Bacteria
Description: bacterial SSU rRNA
Rfam family: Bacterial small subunit ribosomal RNA
Source: RNAcentral